AGUAGCCGCGGGAAUACGGAGGGUGCAAGCGUUAAUCGGAAUUACUGGGCGUAAAGCGCACGCAGGCGGUCUGACAAGUCAGAUGUGAAAUCCCCGGGCUUAACCUGGGAACUGCAUUUGAAACUGUCAGGCUGGAGUCUUGUAGAGGGGGGUAGAAUUCCAGGUGUAGCGGUGAAAUGCGUAGAGAUCUGGAGGAAUACCGGUGGCGAAGGCGGCCCCCUGGACAAAGACUGACGCUCAGGUGCGAAAGCGUGGGGAGCAAACAGGAUUAGAUACCCCAGUAGUCCCUGUCUCUUAUACA
Molecule: ribosomal RNA, 301 nt
Filed under: uncultured bacterium
Lineage: Bacteria
Description: partial 16S ribosomal RNA
Rfam family: Bacterial small subunit ribosomal RNA
Source: RNAcentral